This 472-nucleotide long non-coding RNA is filed under the name Cyanistes caeruleus (blue tit). Its description in RNAcentral is "lncRNA (ENSCCEG00000022600.1)". Lineage: Eukaryota; Metazoa; Chordata; Aves; Passeriformes; Paridae. The record is from RNAcentral.
GUUAACACUUAAAUGAUGAUUAAAACAAAACAGAUGCAAACCAGAGCCAGUUGCAGUUGUUCUGAUUAACAUUAACAGUUGUUAUACAAACAAUUAGUAGGGAAAGACUAUAACAUCAGUUCCGUUGGCAGGAGAAGGCACAGUCAUGGCCAAUCCAAUCCAAUUAAACCAUGUUUCCAGUUUGCAGAUGAACAGCAAAAGUGGAAAUCAGAAUAUAUCAAUACAUUGCCUUUCUCAAGGCACUGUAGUUGCAGACGAGAUCCCAGGAGAUGCAGAGGGCACUAUGAGGAGGAAAGGAUAUAUGGGCACUGCUUACUGACAGAUUCAACAUGCAGAAUGCAUUUCUGCUGGAUUUGAUAAAAAUACAAUUAAAAUUUCGUACAAGGGGGUACGCCAAAUUGGCCUGCAUCCUAGAACCCACUCCAAGCAAAACCUUGAGGAAUAUAUUGUACAAGAAAAGGUCUGUCCCCUG